CCAACGAAGUGUUGAACAAGACUAACAAAAUUUCAGCUCAAAAGAUAAAAACCAAUCAUAACUGGCAUCAUUAACGCCAUAUCUCAUGUCAUUCAUGCAUCACAGCAUCCUUAUUGUCAAAAUAAUUCCGACAAGUAUAGGAAUUGAUCAAAUUCACUAAGAUAACAAUAACCAAUUCCUCUAGAUAACAUUACCAGCUUUUAAUUGUUAUUUCUUAGCUUGUGAUGUAACGGUGAGCUUGGUAAGUACAAAGCAGUCUGGGAGGGUCAAUGUUUGUGUAAUACUUCUUAAUUGUCUCUGUGAUUUCAAAUCCAAAUUUCUUAUAGAAGUUGAU
Molecule: long non-coding RNA, 334 nt
Filed under: Gossypium barbadense (sea-island cotton)
Lineage: Eukaryota; Viridiplantae; Streptophyta; Magnoliopsida; Malvales; Malvaceae
Description: long non-coding RNA (GBAR_LNC023460)
Source: RNAcentral